CCUACGGGCGGCAGCAGUGAGGAAUAUUGGUCAAUGGACGAGAGUCUGAACCAGCCAAGUAGCGUGAAGGAUGACUGCCCUAUGGGUUGUAAACUUCUUUUAUAUGGGAAUAAAAUGUUCCACGUGUGGGAUUUUGUAUGUACCAUAUGAAUAAGGAUCGGCUAACUCCGUGCCAGCAGCCGCGGUAAUACGGAGGAUCCGAGCGUUAUCCGGAUUUAUUGGGGUUAAAGGGAGCGUAGGUGGAUUGUUAAGUCAGUUGUGAAAGUUUGCGGCUCAACCGUAAAAUUGCAGUUGAAACUGGCAGUCUUGAGUACAGUAGAGGUGGGCGGAAUUCGUGGUGUAGCGGUGAAAUGCUUAGAUAUCACGAAGAACUCCGAUUGCGAAGGCAGUUCACUGGACUGCAACUGACAUUGAUGCUCGAAAGUGUGGGUAUCAAACAGGAUUAGAUACCCGAGUAGUC
This 460-nucleotide ribosomal RNA is filed under the name uncultured bacterium. Its description in RNAcentral is "partial 16S ribosomal RNA". It matches the Rfam family "Bacterial small subunit ribosomal RNA", at positions 338 to 795 of the family's 1533-position model. The record is from RNAcentral.